Molecule: ribosomal RNA, 276 nt
Filed under: uncultured bacterium
Lineage: Bacteria
Description: partial 16S ribosomal RNA
Rfam family: Bacterial small subunit ribosomal RNA
Source: RNAcentral
UUGUCCUACGGGGGGCAGCAGUGGGGAAUAUUGCACAAUGGGGGAAACCCUGAUGCAGCAACGCCGCGUGAGUGAAGAAGUAUUUCGAUAUGUAAAGCUCUAUCAGCAGGGAAGAAGAUGACGGUACCUGAUUAAGAAGCCCCGGCUAACUACGUGCCAGCAGCCGCGGUAAUACGUAGGGGGCAAGCGUUAUCCGGAUUUACUGGGUGUAAAGGGAGCGUAGACGGCAUAGCAAGUCUGAAGUGAAAGGCGGCGGCCCAACCCCCGGACUGCUUU